ACUACGGGGGGCAGCAGUGAGGAAUAUUGGUCAAUGGACGCAAGUCUGAACCAGCCAUGCCGCGUGCAGGAUGACGGCUCUAUGAGUUGUAAACUGCUUUUGUACGAGGGUAAACCCCGAUACGUGUAUCGGGUUGAAAGUAUCGUACGAAUAAGGAUCGGCUAACUCCGUGCCAGCAGCCGCGGUAAUACGGAGGAUCCGAGCGUUAUCCGGAUUUAUUGGGUUUAAAGGGUGCGUAGGCGGUUUGAUAAGUUGGAGGUGAAAUGUCGGGGCUCAACCCCGAAACUGCCUCUAAUACUGUUGGACUUGAGAAUAGUUGCGGUAGGCGGAAUGUAUGGUGUAGCGGUGAAAUGCUUAGAGAUCAUGAAGAACACCGAUUGCGAAGGCAGCUUACCAAACUGUAUCUGACGUUGAGGCACGAAAGCGUGGGUAGCAAACAGGAUUAGAUACCCUGGUAGUC
RNAcentral lists this ribosomal RNA (460 nucleotides) under uncultured bacterium. Its description in RNAcentral is "partial 16S ribosomal RNA". It matches the Rfam family "Bacterial small subunit ribosomal RNA", at positions 338 to 795 of the family's 1533-position model. The record is from RNAcentral.